Molecule: ribosomal RNA, 497 nt
Filed under: uncultured bacterium
Lineage: Bacteria
Description: partial 16S ribosomal RNA
Rfam family: Bacterial small subunit ribosomal RNA
Source: RNAcentral
GAUGAACGCUGGCGGCGUGCCUAAUACAUGCAAGUCGAGCGAACAGACGAGGAGCUUGCUUCUCUGACGUUAGCGGCGGACGGGUGAGUAACACGUGGAUAACCUACCUAUAAGACUGGGAUAACUUCGGGAAACCGGAGCUAAUACCGGAUAAUAUAUUGAACCGCAUGGUUCAAUAGUGAAAGACGGUUUUGCUGUCACUUAUAGAUGGAUCCGCGCCGCAUUAGCUAGUUGGUAAGGUAACGGCUUACCAAGGCAACGAUGCGUAGCCGACCUGAGAGGGUGAUCGGCCACACUGGAACUGAGACACGGUCCAGACUCCUACGGGAGGCAGCAGUAGGGAAUCUUCCGCAAUGGGCGAAAGCCUAACGGAGCAACGCCGCGUGAGUGAUGAAGGUCUUCGGAUCGUAAAACUCUGUUAUUAGGGAAGAACAAAUGUGUAAGUAACUAUGCACGUCUUGACGGUACCUAAUCAGAAAGCCACGGCUAACUACGUG